Molecule: ribosomal RNA, 590 nt
Filed under: Bacillus sp. ApR1A28.1A1
Lineage: Bacteria; Bacillati; Bacillota; Bacilli; Caryophanales; Bacillaceae
Description: bacterial SSU rRNA
Rfam family: Bacterial small subunit ribosomal RNA
Source: RNAcentral
ACUCCUACGGGAGGCAGCAGUAGGGAAUCUUCCGCAAUGGACGAAAGUCUGACGGAGCAACGCCGCGUGAGUGAUGAAGGUUUUCGGAUCGUAAAACUCUGUUGUUAGGGAAGAACAAGUACCGGAGUAACUGCCGGUACCUUGACGGUACCUAACCAGAAAGCCACGGCUAACUACGUGCCAGCAGCCGCGGUAAUACGUAGGUGGCAAGCGUUGUCCGGAAUUAUUGGGCGUAAAGCGCGCGCAGGCGGUUCCUUAAGUCUGAUGUGAAAGCCCCCGGCUCAACCGGGGAGGGUCAUUGGAAACUGGGGAACUUGAGUGCAGAAGAGAAGAGUGGAAUUCCACGUGUAGCGGUGAAAUGCGUAGAGAUGUGGAGGAACACCAGUGGCGAAGGCGACUCUUUGGUCUGUAACUGACGCUGAGGCGCGAAAGCGUGGGGAGCAAACAGGAUUAGAUACCCUGGUAGUCCACGCCGUAAACGAUGAGUGCUAAGUGUUAGAGGGUUUCCGCCCUUUAGUGCUGCAGCAAACGCAUUAAGCACUCCGCCUGGGGAGUACGGCCGCAAGGCUGAAACUCAAAGGAAUUGACGG